Molecule: non-coding RNA, 44 nt
Filed under: Schistosoma bovis
Lineage: Eukaryota; Metazoa; Platyhelminthes; Trematoda; Strigeidida; Schistosomatidae
Also listed under: 1 other name
Source: RNAcentral
ACCGGCUGACGAGUCCCAAAUAGGACGAAACGCUCUUCCUAGAU